AAGUCGUAACAAGGUCUCCGUUGGUGAACCAGCGGAGGGAUCAUUACCGAGUUUGCUUUUCUAGCUCGAAACCCACUGUGAACAUACCUCUAUACUCGUUGCUUCGGCGGCAGUUCUCCCCUAUCUUCGCUCUUCUGAGCAAGGAGAAAGGAGCUCGACCGUCGGAGGGACGCAACCCAAAACUCUUUAACUACUUCUCGAGUAUUAUCUGAGUCGAUAUUUUAAUUAUCAAAACUUUCAGCAACGGAUCUCUUGGUUCUG
Molecule: unclassified non-coding RNA, 261 nt
Filed under: fungal sp.
Lineage: Eukaryota; Fungi
Description: partial internal transcribed spacer region
Rfam family: Eukaryotic small subunit ribosomal RNA (bases 1-46)
Source: RNAcentral